AUGCCAUGGGAAGGUUACAAUUUUGAAGACGCAGUACUAAUUAGCGAAUGUUUGGUAUAUGAAGAUAUUUAUACCUCUUUUCACAUCCGGAAUAAAAGAAUUAGUAGGUCUGUUCCGCCCAAAAUGGGAAUGGGUGCUAGGGUUAUGAACUUAUAA
This 156-nucleotide ribosomal RNA is filed under the name Triticum aestivum (bread wheat). Its description in RNAcentral is "partial small subunit ribosomal RNA". The record is from RNAcentral. Lineage: Eukaryota; Viridiplantae; Streptophyta; Magnoliopsida; Poales; Poaceae.